This 424-nucleotide ribosomal RNA is filed under the name uncultured prokaryote. Its description in RNAcentral is "bacterial SSU rRNA". It matches the Rfam family "Bacterial small subunit ribosomal RNA", at positions 355 to 796 of the family's 1533-position model. The record is from RNAcentral.
UGGGGAAUAUUGGACAAUGGGGGAAACCCUGAUCCAGCCAUGCCGCGUGGAUGAAGAAGGCCCUAGGGUUGUAAAAUCCUUUCGCCAGGGAAGAUAAUGACGGUACCUGGAAAAGAAGCCCCGGCUAAUUUCGUGCCAGCAGCCGCGGUAAUACGAAAGGGGCUAGCGUUGUUCGGAAUUACUGGGCGUAAAGCGCACGUAGGCGGCCUUGUAAGUUGGGGGUGAAAUCCCGGAGCUCAACUCCGGAACUGCCUCCAAAACUACAAAGCUUGAGGAUGCGAGAGGUGAGCGGAAUUCCGAGUGUAGAGGUGAAAUUCGUAGAUAUUCGGAAGAACACCAGUGGCGAAGGCGGCUCACUGGCGCAUUUCUGACGCUGAGGUGCGAAAGCGUGGGGAGCAAACAGGAUUAGAUACCCGGGUAGUCC